RNAcentral lists this non-coding RNA (28 nucleotides) under Rattus norvegicus (Norway rat). Lineage: Eukaryota; Metazoa; Chordata; Mammalia; Rodentia; Muridae. The record is from RNAcentral.
UNGGCUUAUUUAGAGCAAAGAGGAGCCU